AGAGUUUGAUCAUGGCUCAGAUUGAACGCUGGCGGCAUGCCUUACACAUGCAAGUCGAGCGGCAGCGCGGGGGCAACCCUGGCGGCGAGCGGCGCACGGGUGAGUAAUGCAUCGGAACGUGUCCUCUUGUGGGGGAUAACCAGUCGAAAGACUGGCUAAUACCGCAUGAGAUCGAGAGAUGAAAGCAGGGGACCCGCAAGGGCCUUGCGCGAGAGGAGCGGCCGAUGCCGGAUUAGCUAGUUGGCGGGGUAAUGGCCCACCAAGGCGACGAUCCGUAGCUGGUCUGAGAGGACGACCAGCCACACUGGGACUGAGACACGGCCCAGACUCCUACGGGAGGCAGCAGUGGGGAAUUUUGGACAAUGGGGGCAACCCUGAUCCAGCCAUGCCGCGUGUGUGAAGAAGGCCUUCGGGUUGUAAAGCACUUUCGGACGGAACGAAAUCGCACGAUCUAACAAGUCGUGUGGAUGACGGUACCGUAAGAAGAAGCACCGGCUAACUACGUGCCAGCAGCCGCGGUAAUACGUAGGGUGCGAGCGUUAAUCGGAAUUACUGGGCGUAAAGUGUGCGCAGGCGGCAAAGCAAGUCGAGUGUGAAAGCCCCGGGGCUUAACUUGGGAAUUGCGCUCGAAACUACUUUGCUGGAGUGUGGCAGAGGAAGGUGGAAUUCCCGUGUAGCGGUGAAAUGCGUAGAGAUGUGGAGGAACACCAAUGGCGAAGGCAGCCUUCUGGGCCAACACUGACGCUCAUGCACGAAAGCGUGGGGAGCAAACAGGAUUAGAUACCCUAGUAGUCC
This 795-nucleotide ribosomal RNA is filed under the name uncultured bacterium. RNAcentral's name for it is "bacterial SSU rRNA". It matches the Rfam family "Bacterial small subunit ribosomal RNA", at positions 8 to 796 of the family's 1533-position model. The record is from RNAcentral.